GUAAAAUGAAGACAGAGGAGAUUACUUUUUUUUCUAUUUCCUUCCCCUCAUUUUUGCUGGGGGCUCUUGUUUCUCUAUCACUUGUUAUUUAGCACUCUUGACUUGUUAUGUCUAACUGGAUAUUGCUAUUACUAGACUUCAGGGCAAGUGUACAGCUAAUUAGAAGUGAACAAAAACCCAAGUACCCAGGUUCAACAAACAACUGAGAAGAUCACCAGAGCAAAUGAUUCAUACUUAUGGUAUUCUCACUCUAAAAGAAUCAGAAGACAUAAAUAAAUAGUGAGUAAAUUGAAGGAUGGCUCAGAUGUUGUCUUUCAUGAAGGAAAUAAAAGAGAGAGCAGAGAUCAAUUUUUAUAUACUCCCAAGGACUACAAGAAAUAUUAUUGAUGGAAUAUAUAAUAAAGUCCAAAAGUGAUCAAAGGCCAUUUCAACAAACUUUGGAUAGAUGAAGCCAUCUGCAUCCAGAAAAAAAAAAAAAAAUGGAGAUCAACACAUGUUAUAUUCACUUCUUUUUUCUGUUUUUUUUUUCACUCUCAUGAUUUUCCCCCUUUGUUUUGAUUUUUCUCUCCAAAUAUGAUUCACAAAGAAAUGUAUAUUUUAAAAAGUGAACAUACAUGGAUAGCCAGUAAAAAAAAAUUAAAUAAAAAUAUUAAACAAAACAUUUUUAAGUACUUAGUUUCAUUUUUCUCUAUCCAUUUAAGUGUUGGUCAUUUUCUAAAUGGUCAACAUUAUGUCAAAAAAAAACUAGUUCUAGGAGUCUUAAAAGUAA
Molecule: long non-coding RNA, 769 nt
Organism: Antechinus flavipes (yellow-footed antechinus)
Lineage: Eukaryota; Metazoa; Chordata; Mammalia; Dasyuromorphia; Dasyuridae
Exons: 3
Source: RefSeq, a predicted model, not a curated record